UUGUACUUGGAAUUAACUUGUAUUUUGUUUUUCAGUUCAAGCAAUAGUCAAAGCAAGACAAACUAAUCAGAUUUGAUGGUCACAAUAAACUGAAGUAAUCGAAGACAAGCUUCCAUAAAGCUAAUUGGUAAAGAAGCAAUAGGUUAAAAAUUAGAUCAGAAGGGAAACCAGCUGCAUGUUUCUCUGGAGACAUUUGCUUAGUGAAAGUAAAUUCUGUUUUCUGCUUCAAUGGCUAAAUUUAAUCCACCUCCUUAAGCAUCGCUUAGCUGGAAAUGGUUCUUCCUCCUGAGCUUGUGUAUCUCUAAGGAAGUCUGUGUGUUGUCAGACUCUUAUACCUAGCCUCUCUAACUGAAGAUAAAGCUGGAAAUUUGCCCAGCACCCCUGAAAAGGCAAAGGGCAAGGUUUUAAUUUGGAUAAGUCACCUUGUCUCCAGGGUCAAAUCAGAGAACAUGAGCAUAGCAGGGCCUUCUGGUACUGCGUAUUAUCGAGGAGUUCUUUGGAAGGGAACACAUUUCUCUUCCAGUAAAUAUUUCAGAAAGCAGCUUCCUUGGGAAUGCUGCUGCACUGCUGGAAUGGUAUUUAUAUUUCCUUUCCUAUUAGUGCUGCUCCUGAGUUUCCUGUGAGAGCGUCUUGGAAGUAAAUGUACCUUACCAUGUCCUAAUUUGAAACUUUUUGCUGCUAAUACUGAAGUGCUUGAGACUGUAACAGCCCCAAGCAGUGGUCACGCCAGCAGGUUACUAUGUUGGAAAAUUUGGUUUGGCUUGAUUUUUCCCUCUAACUGACUUUGCUUAUUUGUCUGGCUUUGGGGAAGCUGCUGGUUUGUAUCUUUCCUUCUUAAAAGAUCUGUAUCCCAAGGGGCUGGUGUGGCAGGGGAAGGUGUUCCUUGUGCUUGGAAACAUUUAUCUGAGUUGUUUCCAACUGUAUAUGCCCUUGUUAUCCUGCUGGGUGUGACUGGGUAGUUUAGAGGGUAACAAGGUUUUUCGUUUAAAUGGUUUCUAC
Long non-coding RNA from Gavialis gangeticus (Gharial), 999 nucleotides. RefSeq lists it as uncharacterized. The transcript has 3 exons. The record is from RefSeq and is a predicted model, not a curated record. NCBI's taxonomy places the organism in Eukaryota, Metazoa, Chordata, Crocodylia, Gavialidae.